This 489-nucleotide ribosomal RNA is filed under the name uncultured bacterium. RNAcentral describes it as "partial 16S ribosomal RNA". It matches the Rfam family "Bacterial small subunit ribosomal RNA", at positions 28 to 507 of the family's 1533-position model. The record is from RNAcentral.
GAUGAACGCUAGCUACAGGCUUAACACAUGCAAGUCGAGGGGCAGCAUGAUUGAAGCUUGCUUCAAUCGAUGGCGGCCGGCGCACGGGUGAGUAACACGUAUCCAACCUGCCGAUAACUCGGGGAUAGCCUUUCGAAAGAAAGAUUAAUACCCGAUAGUAUAGUAUUUCCGCAUGGUUUCACUAUUAAAGAACUUCGGUUAUCGAUGGGGAUGCGUUCCAUUAGAUAGUUGGCGGGGUAACGGCCCACCAAGUCAACGAUGGAUAGGGGUUCUGAGAGGAAGGUCCCCCACAUUGGAACUGAGACACGGUCCAAACUCCUACGGGAGGCAGCAGUGAGGAAUAUUGGUCAAUGGACGAGAGUCUGAACCAGCCAAGUAGCGUGAAGGAUGACUGCCCUAUGGGUUGUAAACUUCUUUUAUACGGGAAUAAAGUGGAGUAUGCAUACUCCUUUGUAUGUACCGUAUGAAUAAGGAUCGGCUAACUCCGUG